AAUAACCAAAUAUGAUACUUGGCUAAGCGUCAAUUGGUGAUUUUCUUACAUCUCCUCCUCCCGAGCCCAAGUAUCAUAUACGCCCCCAAAAUAAAGAGCCUUGAAUACUAGAAGAAAAGCACCUAGACCUAACAAGAUUAAAUGAAUACCUAAAAUGUGGUCAUUUAUUUCUAUCUUUCCA
Molecule: antisense RNA, 181 nt
Filed under: Helianthus annuus (common sunflower)
Lineage: Eukaryota; Viridiplantae; Streptophyta; Magnoliopsida; Asterales; Asteraceae
Description: Antisense RNA which regulates isiA expression
Rfam family: Antisense RNA which regulates isiA expression
Source: RNAcentral